RNAcentral lists this ribosomal RNA (263 nucleotides) under uncultured archaeon. RNAcentral describes it as "partial 16S ribosomal RNA". It matches the Rfam family "Archaeal small subunit ribosomal RNA", at positions 719 to 982 of the family's 1478-position model. The record is from RNAcentral.
ACACGACUACAUUAGAUACCCGUGUAGUCCUAGCCGUAAACGAUACUCGCUAGGUGUCGGCCACGGUGCGACCGUUGUCGGUGCCGUAGGGAAGCCGUGAAGCGAGCCACCUGGGAAGUACGGCCGCAAGGCUGAAACUUAAAGGAAUUGGCGGGAGCACCACAACGGGUGGAGCCUGCGGUUUAAUUGGACUCAACGCCGGGAAGCUCACCGGAUAAGACAGCGGAAUGAUUGCCGGGCUGAAGACUCUGCAUGACUAGCUG